Molecule: ribosomal RNA, 250 nt
Filed under: uncultured bacterium
Lineage: Bacteria
Description: partial 16S ribosomal RNA
Rfam family: Bacterial small subunit ribosomal RNA
Source: RNAcentral
UACGAAGGUGGCAAGCGUUGUUCGGAAUCACUGGGCUUAAAGCGCACGUAGGCGGCCCGUCAAGUGCCUUGUGAAAUCCCCCGGCUCAACCGGGGAAUUGCUUGGCAUACUGUCGGGCUUGAGGCAGGUAGGGGCGCGUGGAACUCUUGGUGGAGCGGUGGAAUGCGUAGAUAUCAAGAGGAACGCCGGUGGCGAAAGCGACGCGCUGGGCCUGUCCUGACGCCGAGGUGCGAAAGCCAGGGGAGCAAAC